GAGGUCGCUCUUUGAUCAAUAUGCACAGUGCUCUCUACAGAAAGAGAUGGCUACUUUAGUCACAGACACUAGAGAUAGCAAGUUUGAUCACUCUAGAGAAGUUGGUUUCCUAUGUGUGACAGCAGCAGUGACGCCUUCUGGUGAAAGACUCUUCUGUCUUCUGAGCUGUCCCACAGCCAGUGGACCUGUUAGCAUGGAUCAUUGGAGCUGAAGCCCAUUUUGCAACAGGUUCAUCUGCACUUGCCUUGUGGGACUGGCUUGACUCCGGUGGAGGCUCCUGGCUGGCUUCAUG
This is a long non-coding RNA of Gopherus flavomarginatus (Mexican gopher tortoise), 292 nucleotides long. RefSeq lists it as uncharacterized. The transcript has 3 exons. The record is from RefSeq and is a predicted model, not a curated record. Lineage: Eukaryota; Metazoa; Chordata; Testudines; Testudinidae.